AGACCACGGGGGUUUCGGCCACUGAGGUCAAAGAUGGCCUCUGCCUGCAAGCUCGUUUGAGGAUGGGCCCGCGUCCCAUUAGCUAGUUGGUGGGGUAAAAGCACCAAGGCGACGAUGGGUAGCUGGUCUGAGAGGAUGGCCAGCCACACUAACUGACACACGGUCCAGACUCCUACGGGAGGCAGCAGUGAGGAAUUUCGCAAUGGGGGAAACCCUGACGCAGCAACGCCGCGUGAGUGUGAAGGCCUUCGGGUUGUAAAGCUCUGUCGAGUGGGAAGAAUUUUUUGGCUGAAUAAUCCGAAAAAUUGACGGUACCCGCUGAAGGAAGCACCCGUAACUCCGUGCCAGCAGCCGCGGUAAUACCGGAGGGUGCAAGCGUUAUGAUUUAUUGGGCGUAAAGGGCGUGUA
This 408-nucleotide ribosomal RNA is filed under the name uncultured bacterium. Its description in RNAcentral is "bacterial SSU rRNA". It matches the Rfam family "Bacterial small subunit ribosomal RNA", at positions 173 to 573 of the family's 1533-position model. The record is from RNAcentral.